AGCCCUGAGCGCUGACUCUGCAGGCUCCUUCCCAAGCACUCUGUUUACAAUGCCACCCAUUUAAUCCCUGAGCCCUAGCUGCUCCAGUGGGAAAAAAACCCUGUAGAAGGUCUUUAGGAGGGCUCUGUCUUCCCUAACUGGCUUGACAGAGGUGACCAAGGGAUAAAAGCAUUGAUGGAUGCUGUGUGAAGGUGAAGCACACAGCACCUGUUAAGAAGGCUGACUCAUUGAAAGGAACUGUGUUGAAAAGAGUGUGCUCUUGUUAAAGCUGAUGGUAAAUGUGUUUGAGGCAGUCAAAAGAAUCACACAUCCUCUUUCACCUGGCCUUCAGACAAUUCUCAAAUUGGAGAUACUUGGGAAAAUAUUUUGAGGUUCUUCUGAACAUAUUUUU
RNAcentral lists this long non-coding RNA (391 nucleotides) under Serinus canaria (Common canary). RNAcentral's name for it is "lncRNA (ENSSCAG00000003207.1)". The record is from RNAcentral. Lineage: Eukaryota; Metazoa; Chordata; Aves; Passeriformes; Fringillidae.